This 69-nucleotide transfer RNA is filed under the name Ictidomys tridecemlineatus (thirteen-lined ground squirrel). RNAcentral's name for it is "Spermophilus tridecemlineatus (thirteen-lined ground squirrel) tRNA". It matches the Rfam family "tRNA". From Rfam's summary of the family: Transfer RNA (tRNA) molecules are approximately 80 nucleotides in length. The record is from Rfam by way of RNAcentral. Lineage: Eukaryota; Metazoa; Chordata; Mammalia; Rodentia; Sciuridae.
GGGGCUGUAGCUCAGUGGUAGAGUGCUUGCCUUGGAUGUGCGAGGCACUGGGUUCAAUCCUCAGCACCA